GACGAGCGCUGGCGGUGUGCUUAACACAUGCAAGUCGAACGGUAAGGCCCUUUCGGGGGUACACGAGUGGCGAACGGGUGAGUAACACGUGAGUAACCUGCCCUCAUCUCUGGGAUAACAGUCGGAAACGGUUGCUAAUACUGGAUAUGAGCUUGCAAGGCAUCUUGUGGGUUGGAAAGAUUUUUUUGGUUGGGGAUGGACUCGCGGCCUAUCAGCUUGUUGGUGAGGUAGUGGCUCACCAAGGCUUCGACGGGUAGCCGGCCUGAGAGGGCGACCGGCCACAUUGGGACUGAGAUACGGCCCAAACUCCUACGGGAGGCAGCAGUGGGGAAUAUUGCACAAUGGACGGAAGUCUGAUGCAGCAACGCCGCGUGCGGGAUGACGGCCUUCGGGUUGUAAACCGCUUUCAAUUGUGACGAAGCUUUUUGUGACGGUAGCAGUAGAAGAAGCACCGGCUAACUACGUG
This 466-nucleotide ribosomal RNA is filed under the name uncultured bacterium. Its description in RNAcentral is "partial 16S ribosomal RNA". It matches the Rfam family "Bacterial small subunit ribosomal RNA", at positions 28 to 507 of the family's 1533-position model. The record is from RNAcentral.